AGAGGGUGCAAGCGUUAAUCGGAAUUACUGGGCGUAAAGCGCGCGUAGGCGGAUAUUUAAGUCGGAUGUGAAAGCCCUGGGGCUCAACCUGGGAACUGCAUUCGAUACUGGAUAUCUAGAGUAUGGUAGAGGAAAGUAGAAUUCCUGGUGUAGCGGUGAAAUGCGUAGAUAUCAGGAGGAAUACCAGUGGCGAAGGCGGCUUUCUGGACCAAUACUGACGCUGAGGUGCGAAAGCGUGGGGAGCAAACAGGAUUAGAGACCCUGGUAGUCCACGCCGUCAACGAUGAGAACUAGCCGUUGGGAGGCAUGACCUCUUAGUGGCGAAGCUAACGCGUUAAGUUCUCCGCCUGGGGAGUACGGCCGCAAGGUUA
Molecule: ribosomal RNA, 371 nt
Filed under: uncultured organism
Description: partial 16S ribosomal RNA
Rfam family: Bacterial small subunit ribosomal RNA
Source: RNAcentral